UCCGUAGGCGGGCAGCUCAGUCAGUGGUGAAAGUUUGCAGCUCAACUGUAAAAUUGCCAUUGAUACUGGUUGUCUUGAAUUAAUGUGAAGUAGUUAGAAUAUGUAGUGUAGCGGUGAAAUGCAUAGAUAUUACAUGGAAUACCAAUUGCGAAGGCAGAUCACUAACAUUAUAUUGACGCUGAUGGACGAAAGCGUGGGGAGCGAACAGGAUUAGAUACCCUGGUAGUCC
Molecule: ribosomal RNA, 229 nt
Filed under: uncultured bacterium
Lineage: Bacteria
Description: partial 16S ribosomal RNA
Rfam family: Bacterial small subunit ribosomal RNA
Source: RNAcentral